UACGUAGGUGGCAAGCGUUGUCCGGAUUUAUUGGGUUUAAAGGGUGCGUAGGCGGUCUUCUAAGUCAGUUGUGAAAUACUUCAGCUUAACUGGAGAGGUGCAAUUGAUACUGGAAGACUUGAGUACUGAUGAGGUAGGCGGAAUGGACGGUGUAGCGGUGAAAUGCUUAGAUAUCGUCCAGAACACCGAUAGCGAAGGCAGCUUACUAAGGAGUAACUGACGCUGAGGCACGAAAGCGUGGGGAGCGAACAGG
RNAcentral lists this ribosomal RNA (253 nucleotides) under uncultured bacterium. Its description in RNAcentral is "partial 16S ribosomal RNA". It matches the Rfam family "Bacterial small subunit ribosomal RNA", at positions 524 to 776 of the family's 1533-position model. The record is from RNAcentral.